GUUGACCUCGGAUCACGUAGAGUU
Molecule: ribosomal RNA, 24 nt
Filed under: Scedosporium boydii
Lineage: Eukaryota; Fungi; Ascomycota; Sordariomycetes; Microascales; Microascaceae
Description: partial large subunit ribosomal RNA
Source: RNAcentral